RNAcentral lists this ribosomal RNA (216 nucleotides) under Glomeromycotina sp. RNAcentral's name for it is "partial small subunit ribosomal RNA". The stretch from base 75 to 216 matches the Rfam family "Eukaryotic small subunit ribosomal RNA", at positions 721 to 864 of the family's 1831-position model. The record is from RNAcentral. Lineage: Eukaryota; Fungi; Glomeromycota.
GGGUCAGUAGGUUGGUCGUGCCACCGGUACGUACUGGUCUCACUGAUUCCUCCUGCCUGAAGAACCGUAAUGCCAUUAAUUUGGUGUUGCGGGGAAACAGGACUGUUACGUUGAAAAAAUUAGAGUGUUUAAAGCAAGCUAACGCUUGAAUACAUUAGCAUGGAAUAAUGAAAUAGGACGAUCGAUCCUAUUUUGUUGGUUUCUAGGAUUGACGUA